GACGAACGCUGGCGGCGUGCUUAACACAUGCAAGUCGAACGGAAAGGCCCUGCUUUUGUGGGGUGCUCGAGUGGCGAACGGGUGAGUAACACGUGAGUAACCUGCCCUUGACUUUGGGAUAACUUCAGGAAACUGGGGCUAAUACAGGAUAGGAGCUCCUGCUGCAUGGUGGGGGUUGGAAAGUUUCGGCGGUUGGGGAUGGACUCGCGGCUUAUCAGCUUGUUGGUGGGGUAGUGGCUUACCAAGGCUUUGACGGGUAGCCGGCCUGAGAGGGUGACCGGCCACAUUGGGACUGAGAUACGGCCCAGACUCCUACGGGAGGCAGCAGGGGGGAAUAUUGCACAAUGGGCGGAAGCCUGAUGCAGCAACGCCGCGUGCGGGAUGACGGCCUUCGGGUUGUAAACCGCUUUCGCCUGUGACGAAGCGUGAGUGACGGUAAUGGGUAAAGAAGCACCGGCUAACUACGUG
This 468-nucleotide ribosomal RNA is filed under the name uncultured bacterium. RNAcentral's name for it is "partial 16S ribosomal RNA". It matches the Rfam family "Bacterial small subunit ribosomal RNA", at positions 28 to 507 of the family's 1533-position model. The record is from RNAcentral.